Regulatory RNA element from Mesonia phycicola, 120 nucleotides. It matches the Rfam family "Bacteroidete tryptophan peptide leader RNA". The record is from Rfam. NCBI's taxonomy places the organism in Bacteria, Pseudomonadati, Bacteroidota, Flavobacteriia, Flavobacteriales, Flavobacteriaceae.
UCAUACCUAUAUUUGAGGCAAUGAAAAAUUUAACAGUACAUACUUGGUGGUGGAAUAACUUACGAAAAACGUCGUGAGCUAGCACCGCAUUGUAUAUAAUUAUAUCCAAAAAGGCUUGUC